This 253-nucleotide ribosomal RNA is filed under the name uncultured bacterium. Its description in RNAcentral is "partial 16S ribosomal RNA". It matches the Rfam family "Bacterial small subunit ribosomal RNA", at positions 524 to 776 of the family's 1533-position model. The record is from RNAcentral.
GACGGAGGAUGCAAGUGUUAUCCGGAAUCACUGGGCGUAAAGCGUCUGUAGGUGGUCAAAUAAGUCAACUGUUAAAUCUUGAGGCUCAACCUCAAAACCGCAGUCGAAACUAUUAGACUAGAGUAUAGUAGGGGUAAAGGGAAUUUCCAGUGGAGCGGUGAAAUGCGUAGAGAUUGGAAAGAACACCGAUGGCGAAGGCACUUUACUGGGCUAUGACUAACACUCAGAGACGAAAGCUAGGGUAGCAAAUGGG